ACGGGUGAGUAACACGUGGGUAACCUACCUAUAAGACUGGGAUAACUUCGGGAAACCGGAGCUAAUACCGGAUAAUAUUUCGAACCGCAUGGUUCGAUAGUGAAAGGUGGUUUUGCUAUCACUUAUANAUGGACCCGCGCCGUAUUAGCUAGUUGGUAAGGUAACGGCUUACCAAGGCGACGAUACGUAGCCGACCUGAGAGGGUGAUCGGCCACACUGGAACUGAGACACGGUCCGAGACUCCUACGGGAGGCAGCAGCC
This 261-nucleotide ribosomal RNA is filed under the name uncultured Staphylococcus sp. Its description in RNAcentral is "partial 16S ribosomal RNA". It matches the Rfam family "Bacterial small subunit ribosomal RNA", at positions 102 to 355 of the family's 1533-position model. The record is from RNAcentral. Lineage: Bacteria; Bacillati; Bacillota; Bacilli; Caryophanales; Staphylococcaceae.